Molecule: ribosomal RNA, 1362 nt
Filed under: Lactiplantibacillus plantarum
Lineage: Bacteria; Bacillati; Bacillota; Bacilli; Lactobacillales; Lactobacillaceae
Description: Lactobacillus plantarum 16S ribosomal RNA
Rfam family: Bacterial small subunit ribosomal RNA
Source: RNAcentral
GAGUGGCGAACUGGUGAGUAACACGUGGGAAACCUGCCCAGAAGCGGGGGAUAACACCUGGAAACAGAUGCUAAUACCGCAUAACAACUUGGACCGCAUGGUCCGAGUUUGAAAGAUGGCUUCGGCUAUCACUUUUGGAUGGUCCCGCGGCGUAUUAGCUAGAUGGUGAGGUAACGGCUCACCAUGGCAAUGAUACGUAGCCGACCUGAGAGGGUAAUCGGCCACAUUGGGACUGAGACACGGCCCAAACUCCUACGGGAGGCAGCAGUAGGGAAUCUUCCACAAUGGACGAAAGUCUGAUGGAGCAACGCCGCGUGAGUGAAGAAGGGUUUCGGCUCGUAAAACUCUGUUGUUAAAGAAGAACAUAUCUGAGAGUAACUGUUCAGGUAUUGACGGUAUUUAACCAGAAAGCCACGGCUAACUACGUGCCAGCAGCCGCGGUAAUACGUAGGUGGCAAGCGUUGUCCGGAUUUAUUGGGCGUAAAGCGAGCGCAGGCGGUUUUUUAAGUCUGAUGUGAAAGCCUUCGGCUCAACCGAAGAAGUGCAUCGGAAACUGGGAAACUUGAGUGCAGAAGAGGACAGUGGAACUCCAUGUGUAGCGGUGAAAUGCGUAGAUAUAUGGAAGAACACCAGUGGCGAAGGCGGCUGUCUGGUCUGUAACUGACGCUGAGGCUCGAAAGUAUGGGUAGCAAAACAGGGAUUAGAUACCCUGGUAGUCCAUACCGUAAACGAUGAAUGCUAAGUGUUGGAGGGUUUCCGCCCUUCAGUGCUGCAGCUAACGCAUUAAGCAUUCCGCCUGGGGAGUACGGCCGCAAGGCUGAAACUCAAAGGAAUUGACGGGGGCCCGCACAAGCGGUGGAGCAUGUGGUUUAAUUCGAAGCUACGCGAAGAACCUUACCAGGUCUUGACAUACUAUGCAAAUCUAAGAGAUUAGACGUUCCCUUCGGGGACAUGGAUACAGGUGGUGCAUGGUUGUCGUCAGCUCGUGUCGUGAGAUGUUGGGUUAAGUCCCGCAACGAGCGCAACCCUUAUUAUCAGUUGCCAGCAUUAAGUUGGGCACUCUGGUGAGACUGCCGGUGACAAACCGGAGGAAGGUGGGGAUGACGUCAAAUCAUCAUGCCCCUUAUGACCUGGGCUACACACGUGCUACAAUGGAUGGUACAACGAGUUGCGAACUCGCGAGAGUAAGCUAAUCUCUUAAAGCCAUUCUCAGUUCGGAUUGUAGGCUGCAACUCGCCUACAUGAAGUCGGAAUCGCUAGUAAUCGCGGAUCAGCAUGCCGCGGUGAAUACGUUCCCGGGCCUUGUACACACCGCCCGUCACACCAUGAGAGUUUGUAACACCCAAAGUCGGUGGGGUAACC